UACGUAGGGUGCGAGCGUUAAUCGGAAUUACUGGGCGUAAAGCGUGCGCAGGCGGUUUUGUAAGCCAGAUGUGAAAUCCCCGGGCUUAACCUGGGAACUGCAUUUGGGACUGCAAGGCUUGAGUGCGGCAGAGGAGACUGGAAUUCCUGGUGUAGCAGUGAAAUGCGUAGAUAUCAGGAGGAACACCGGAGGCGAAGGCGGAUCUCUGGGCCUGUCCUGACGCUCAGGCGCGAAAGCUAGGGGAGCAAACAGG
RNAcentral lists this ribosomal RNA (253 nucleotides) under uncultured bacterium. RNAcentral's name for it is "partial 16S ribosomal RNA". It matches the Rfam family "Bacterial small subunit ribosomal RNA", at positions 524 to 776 of the family's 1533-position model. The record is from RNAcentral.